GAGACGUAACUUUGUGCAAGCCGCAGGGAAAUGGGUGUGUCCAAGCUACUGCGAUGUAACAGGACGUAGUAUUUGCAAACGAACAGGAGAAAACGUCCAGAUCAAUUACACGAAAUCGCGUUUGAUAUAUAAAACAAACUUGUCAGCUAAGAACUUGGAAAACACGACAACGGAAAAUAAUAAGAUACCCACUGAGGAUGCUACAACUGUGGUGAACCACGUUUGGGUGAUAAAGUAAACCAAUAAUUUGUGUACUUACAAAAAGGUGGACUCAUCGUUAAUUCAUUAACAUUUUUCUGCAAGCACUGGAACUGAGUCCAAACUCAAAUAGGCCAAUGAUGUAAAUAGACAGUUGUAUUAUAGAAGAUGAGAAGCUGAAACUCUCAGGAAUACCUGUAAUACUACCUUUACGACAUAGUUCUCCAGUUGAACAACUCUUAAAGUUGCUGGGCAUAUAACUGAUGAACUGCAAGAGGAAAUUAUCAACAAAUGAAGCCUAUGGUCUAUGGGCAAGUAUUCCACAGGGGAUACUCAGGAUCCACUAUUUUAUGUGUAUUAAUAAUCUUGUAUUGCAUAUAUAUUUAUUGUAAAUGGUGUCGAAAUAGUGGUAAGAAACUGUGUCGAAUAGCAAGUAUAGACUGUUGGGUCAGGAGAACUAAGAAAACUGAAUCCCUUUCUCCAAAACCAGAUUUCACACAAUUAUGCCCAAAAUGAUACAAUGUAGUGGUAAAAUAUUGACAUGUUUUGUGAAAAUAUGUAUAACUGUUAAAAUAAAGAGUGAUAACUCAUAA
This 791-nucleotide long non-coding RNA is filed under the name Schistocerca americana (American grasshopper). Its description in RNAcentral is "uncharacterized LOC124622362". The record is from RNAcentral. Lineage: Eukaryota; Metazoa; Arthropoda; Insecta; Orthoptera; Acrididae.